Molecule: ribosomal RNA, 492 nt
Filed under: uncultured bacterium
Lineage: Bacteria
Description: partial 16S ribosomal RNA
Rfam family: Bacterial small subunit ribosomal RNA
Source: RNAcentral
AGUGAACGCUGGCGGUAGGCCUAACACAUGCAAGUCGAACGGCAGCACAGUAAGAGCUUGCUCUUACGGGUGGCGAGUGGCGGACGGGUGAGGAAUACAUCGGAAUCUACUUUUUCGUGGGGGAUAACGUAGGGAAACUUACGCUAAUACCGCAUACGACCUACGGGUGAAAGCAGGGGAUCUUCGGACCUUGCGCGAUUGAAUGAGCCGAUGUCGGAUUAGCUAGUUGGCGGGGUAAAGGCCCACCAAGGCGACGAUCCGUAGCUGGUCUGAGAGGAUGAUCAGCAAAACUGGAAAUGAGAAACGGUCCAGACUCCUACGGGAGGCAGCAGUGGGGAAUAUUGGACAAUGGGAGCAAGCCUGAUCCAGCCAUACCGCGUGGGUGAAGAAGGCAUUCGGGUUGUAAAGCCCUUUUGUUGGGAAAGAAAAGCAGCAGGUUAAUACCCCGCUGUUCUGACGGUACCCAAAGAAUAAGCACCGGCUAACUUCGUG